This 469-nucleotide ribosomal RNA is filed under the name uncultured bacterium. RNAcentral describes it as "partial 16S ribosomal RNA". It matches the Rfam family "Bacterial small subunit ribosomal RNA", at positions 28 to 507 of the family's 1533-position model. The record is from RNAcentral.
GACGAACGCUGGCGGCGUGCUUAACACAUGCCAGUCGAACGGAAAGGCCCUGCUUUUGUGGGGUGCUCGAGUGGCGAACGGGUGAGUAACACGUGAGUAACCUGCCCUUGACUUUGGGAUAACUUCAGGAAACUGGGGCUAAUACCGGAUAGGAGCUCCUGCUGCAUGGUGGGGGUUGGAAAGUUUCGGCGGUUGGGGAUGGACUCGCGGCUUAUCAGCUUGUUGGUGGGGUAGUGGCUUACCAAGGCUUUGACGGGUAGCCGGCCUGAGAGGGUGACCGGCCACAUUGGGACUGAGAUACGGCCCAGACUCCUACGGGAGGCAGCAGUGGGGAAUAUUGCACAAUGGGCGGAAGCCUGAUGCAGCAACGCCGCGUGCGGGAUGACGGCCUUCGGGUUGUAAACCGCUUUCGCUCAUGACGAAGCUUUGUGUGACGGUAGUGGGUAAAGAAGCACCGGCUAACUACGUG